GACUACAUGAAGCUGGAAUCGCUAGUAAUCGCAGGUCAGCAUACUGCGGUGAAUACGUUCCCGGAUCUUGUACACACCGCCCGUCACACCAUGGGAGCCGGAAAUGCCCGAAGCCAGUGACCCAACCUUAGGGAGGGAGCUGUCGAAGGUGGAGCCGGUAACUGGGGUGAAGUCGUAACAAGGUACC
RNAcentral lists this ribosomal RNA (187 nucleotides) under uncultured bacterium. RNAcentral describes it as "partial 16S ribosomal RNA". It matches the Rfam family "Bacterial small subunit ribosomal RNA", at positions 1314 to 1500 of the family's 1533-position model. The record is from RNAcentral.